AAGCCGGGCAGGGCGCCCGCCAGCGCUCCGCAGCCCGGCCUGCUCGCGCUCUGUCGCCUCCCCGCUCCACCGUCGCAUUUCGCAGCUUUGCAGGCGGAGAACCGCGCUGGCCUUGGGACCCUUGCCCGUUUGCAGGUGGCCAGGAGGAGCCCCGCUGCGGGCCAGGAUGCAAAAGCCCGUGGUGCAAAGGCUUCCGCAGCGCGCGCCCCUUUCGCGUAGCCGCGUUAGGCAAGGAACGGGCUCGGCGUUGCUCCCCUUUUCCCCCCGCAUGCAAUGCGGGCUUGAGCCUUCAGAGAGGCUAAAUAAAAAUGUACGUUGGUUCUGCGGGGCUCAGACCGCAAGGGACAAGCACGCUUUCCGGGGAGAAAGCCCCACUGAACGGUCAAGUACAUCCUUCCCCCUCCAAUUUUAUCCACACAACAACCAUGCAGGGUAGGACAGAGCAAUAGCGAGUGCGUGACUGGCUCAGGUCAACGGAUGAGGACGCAACAGGGUUUGGAAACCAGCUAGACCAGCAGUUGAAUCCUACAUCAACAGCACUGGUGAAGAGACCGCAUCCUGCAUAGCAUCUGAGGAUAGGAGAACCUGUUUCCAUUGCUCCCCAUUUUUCAUUUUUCCAAUCUUAAGUUCAGUUGUCCACAUUUCGACAUCAGUGUGCAAUUUUUUUUAAUAAAAGUCGUCAUGAAAUUUCAUUAGCACUUUAGUGCGAAUUUCCCUUAAUGCAGGUGCAUGCAAUUUUGCCUGACACAUUUUUGCAAAGCAAUUUUCCCUAAUAUAAUGGAUUUUUAUAUGUUAUUUUCAAUAAUAUGUGCAUCAUUUCUAUAACUGUCCCCAUUUUUGUACACAUGACAUGGCCAGAGAACUGCACUGCAAAAUUCGGAGAAGUGUGACUUUUCGAGGACGGCUGUGUUUCGGUUUGGCUUCAGAAAGUGCAAAGUAGGUUCACAUUUGGACUGGAUCAAAUUUGUUCCAAAUCCUUGAGCAUGCCUAACUGUACUAACAGCAGGCUAGUUUGGGGGACAGGGAGGCAGGCCAGGUCAUGUUGCAUAACCCCUCUGCCCUCUAACAGAGAGGAAGAACUGGGAGGGGCACAUAGGAGGCGUAGCCUGGAACCGCUGCCCCUGCCCAGGAUCUGCCACUUGAGGCAGUUGCCUCGCUUGUCUAAUGGCAGAGACGGCCCUGUGGUCACCCCCCUUGCAUGACAGCGCCACUAAGAGCCUCACUUUGGAAGGAAGUUUCAAAGGAGGCUGGUGGAACUCCCUACAGGCAAAAUCACCCAGUGCCGGAAAGCCACUGUGCUAAAAAAUUGGAGAAAUGAGACUGUACACACCAAAUAUUUAUAGCACACGACUUCCCCCAAAGAAUCCUGGGAACUGUAGUUUAUCCCUCACAGAGCUAUCUUUCCCAACACUCUUAACAAACUACAGUUCCCAGUAUUCUUUGGGGGAAUAGGCCAUGUGCUUUAAAUGUAUUAUUUAUUAUUAUUUAUUUAUUUAACAUUUAUAACCCACCUUUCUUUUUUCAUGAAACCCAAGGCGGCUCACAUAUGGCUCCCAAAAGGGUCCCCCAUCCAGGCACUGACCAGACCUGACCCUGCUUACGUGCCUUCAGACCAUAGCUGAUGGACCAAUGUAUGGUGUAUAUGCAGCCUGAGAAAUUGAGAGAAGCCAAAAUGGACAGAUUUGCCUGUUCCUAGCCACCGUGGACCCUUGUGGCUUUUCCUUGGGCCCUACAGCCACAAGCCACACACUUUGGGAGCUCAUAACCCUAAAGAAACAGCCUUGGCCGCCUCUAGCGACGGCUGGUGAAAUGAGUGCCAAGUUCCUAGCCCAUCAUGCCUCCCGAGGGUGCUUGAUCUUUAUUCUUCUCUUCCUCAGCACCUCCAGAGCAUGUGAAAACAGUAAAGGCGGCAGAACAUUUGCGGCCAUAAAGUUAUACAGCCCUUUAUUUAACUUGGCCAGGCUCUGAAGGCAAAUAUCACUGCCCGUCGCCAGGGAUGGGCGAAUCUGGCCUUUGCUGUUUCUCUCCAUUUUUUAAUCUGCUCCAGAUUUCCACGGCAGUUUGUGAAUUGUUUUUUUAAAGUCCUCGCGAAAAUUCAUCAGCGUUUCAGUGUGGAUUUCUCCUAAAGUGCACGCAUGUGUGCCUGCAAGUUUGCCUUAUAUGCCUGUUGUUGCAAAGCAACUUUCCCUAAUAACGUAAGAGCCCUACAGCAGCACCUGGGUCAGGCCGAAGGGAGCCCCUCUAGUCCAGCCUCCCGUCCUUACAGUGGCCAACCAAGUGCCCCCGUGGGAAGCCCACAAGCAGGAUCUGAGCACAGCAGCAGCAGCCAACUCUCUCCACUUGUGAUUCCUGGCAACUGGCAAAUUGCCUCCGACAGUGGAGGUAGAACAUAGCCACUGAUAGCUUCAUCUGCCAUGAGUUUGUCUAAUUCUCUUUUGAAGCCAUCCAAGUUGGUGGUCAUUGCUACUCUUGGUGGGGAAACUACUAGCCCACGGGCAAAAGGGGCAUCUCUGCUCAAGUCACUAGUCCCUUAAGAGGUGGCUCUAUGUGCGUGACAAAGAAGGCGCACACACAAAACCUUGUGGCUCAAUAAGGCCGCAAUCCUAAACCCACAUACCUGGAAGGACUCCCGAGUAAACAUCCUCAGAUGGCUCUGCAAGUCCAUGAAGGGAGAGGCCUUAUCUCAGUGGCAGAGCAUCUGUGUUGCCUGCAAGAGCCCUGCCUGAAUGUCCCUGCCUGAAUCCCUGCAGAGCGGCUGCCAGUCAGUGUAGACGAUCCUGAGCUAGAGGGACCAAUGCCUAACUCUGCAUAAAGCCACUUGCAAUGAUCCUGCGCCUUCGCAGGGGGAGACCCUUUCAUGAAAUCUUGGAGGGCCACUGCCAGUCAGUGUAGACAGUAUUGAGCCGGAUGGACCAAGGGCCUGACUCGGUAGAAGUCCUCCUUGCGCUGGCAUUGACAGGAGUGUGAUCCAGGAGAUUUUAUUUUGGGAUGUGAGGACAACCUGGAAUUCUUGCAGAUCCGGCUGCAUCUGAUGCGCCCCCAUCCCGUUUUCAAAUCUUGUCACUUUUCCCCCCUCCCCCCAUGUCCAGAACCCCACCUCACCCUCCCAUAACUAGGCUAAUGAUAGGACCAAAGGCUGACAGCCCUCCCCCCGCGCAGUACACAACUGCUGUCAGCUUUUAGCAGAGAGACACAACACAUCAUCAGCCACAGCAGCGCACACGUGUUUCAAAGGUUUGGCGUGGAUGGCAGCCGGGACUUUGAACACUGGGAAGCUCAGAUAAAAGGGGCUUUUUGGUCCUCUGCUUGCUCAUUAAGGCAGGGUGGGAGGACAGCUUAGCAAUUAACGAGGGGCCAAAGAGGCAUCUGAGCAAUGCGCAGGUUUGGGCGAUGCUCGACCGCUUGGCACAGAGCGUGGUACAUUUCCGGCACGUGUGGCCCAGGCAGCUCCCAGGAAUGCCUUUCCAGCAAAGGUCACUUCAGCCUGGGCUGUGACCCUUUUCCGCUUAGCAGGACAAUCACUCUGCAGUGCUGAUUCUGCACUUGCUGUCAAUCCCCAAGCCAAGGUCAAGGCCUCUCCCCAGCCUGCUCUGGGGCAGAGGCCAGAAAGAGGUCCUGAUUCAGAGGGACAUGCCUCGUGCACAAGUAAGGGUGGGUGAAUCCCUCCAUGCCAGUUUCUCAAGUUUCCAAUCAGAAGUUCAGUUCCCUGCUUUUCUACAUCAAUUUGCAAGUUUUACCAAAAAAAUGAGCAUUUUAUACAAUUUUAUAAAAUG
This is a long non-coding RNA of Rhineura floridana, 3773 nucleotides long. RefSeq lists it as uncharacterized. The transcript has 3 exons. Lineage: Eukaryota; Metazoa; Chordata; Lepidosauria; Squamata; Rhineuridae. The record is from RefSeq and is a predicted model, not a curated record.